RNAcentral lists this ribosomal RNA (945 nucleotides) under uncultured bacterium. Its description in RNAcentral is "bacterial SSU rRNA". It matches the Rfam family "Bacterial small subunit ribosomal RNA", at positions 1 to 916 of the family's 1533-position model. The record is from RNAcentral.
UAAAGNUUGAUCCUGGCUCAGGACGAACGCUGGCGGCAUGCCUAAUACAUGCAAGUCGAACGAGUUCCCGUUGAUUGACGUGCNUGCACUGAUUUCAGCAUUGGAACGAGUGGCGAACUGGUGAGUAACACGUGGAAAACCUGCCCAGAAGCAGGGGAUAACACUUGGAAACAGGUGCUAAUACCGUAUAACAACAAAAACCGCAUGGUUUUUGUUUGAAAGGUGGCUUCGGCUAUCACUUCUGGAUGGUUCCGCGGCGCAUUAGCUUGUUGGUGGGGUAACGGCUCACCAAGGCGAUGAUGCGUAGCCGACCUGAGAGGGUAAUCGGCCACAUUGGGACUGAGACACGGCCCAGACUCCUACGGGAGGCAGCAGUAGGGAAUCUUCCACAAUGGACGCAAGUCUGAUGGAGCAAUGCCGCGUGAGUGAAGAAGGGUUUCGGCUCGUAAAACUCUGUUGUUGAAGAAGAACGGGUGUCAGAGUAACUGUUGACAUCGUGACGGUAUUCAACCGGAAAGCCACGGCUAACUACGUGCCAGCAGCCGCGGUAAUACGUAGGUGACAAGCGUUGUCCGGAUUUAUUGGGCGUAAAGCGAGCGCAGGCGGUUUCUUAAGUCUGAUGUGAAAGCCUUCGGCUUAACCGAAGAAGUGCAUCGGAAACUGGGGAACUUGAGUGCAGAAGAGGACAGUGGAACUCCAUGUGUAGCGGUGGAAUGCGUAGAUAUAUGGAAGAACACCAGUGGCGAAGGCGGCUGUCUAGUCUGCAACUGACGCUGAGGCUCGAAAGCAUGGGUAGCGAACAGGAUUAGAUACCCUGGUAGUCCAUGCCGUAAACGAUGAGUGCUAGGUGUUGGAGGGUUUCCGCCCUUCAGUGCCGCAGCUAACGCAUUAAGCACUCCGCCUGGGGAGUACGACCGCAAGGUUGAAACUUAAAGGAAUUGACGG